GACAGAGGGUGCAAACGUUGCUCGGAAUCACUGGGCGUAAAGGGCGUGUAGGCGGGAGAGAAAGUCGGGCGUGAAAUCCCUGGGCUCAACCCAGGAACUGCACUCGAAACUUCCCUUCUUGAGUGCCGGAGAGGAAAGCGGAAUACCUGGUGUAGAGGUGAAAUUCGUAGAUAUCAGGUGGAACACCAGUGGCGAAGGCGGCUUUCUGGACGGUAACUGACGCUGAGACGCGAAAGCGUGGGGAGCAAACAGG
Molecule: ribosomal RNA, 253 nt
Filed under: uncultured bacterium
Lineage: Bacteria
Description: partial 16S ribosomal RNA
Rfam family: Bacterial small subunit ribosomal RNA
Source: RNAcentral